UGACAAUUGACGUGACUGAGGUGAAGAGCGACAUGAAUGCAGUAACCAUUUGAACAGUUUGCUACGACAGCGUAUGGAGGAGCGGAAAUAUUGUGGAGAUGUGGAUAUUGACAGCCAGGAAGAAGGAAAGGGCUUUAGGGAAGCGAUAUGGCAGGUCCCAGCUGAGUGUGGGCUUCCCUGAGUCUCCUAAUUUAGGUGACUCCUGUGCACAGUUUAACCCAGGUCCUCAGGAGCCAGUCAGCGGGUGAAGGUUGGGAUCCCAUCCUCAUCGCCAAGAAUGAGACGCAGAUCUGAAAGAAAGAUGAACGAGGCUCAUCCUGACAUGACCCUCCAGCAUGACAAUGCCACCAGCCAUACUGCUCGUUCUGUGCGUG
Long non-coding RNA from Oncorhynchus gorbuscha (pink salmon), 374 nucleotides. RefSeq lists it as uncharacterized. The transcript is spliced from 3 exons. NCBI's taxonomy places the organism in Eukaryota, Metazoa, Chordata, Actinopteri, Salmoniformes, Salmonidae. The record is from RefSeq and is a predicted model, not a curated record.